AGUGAACGCUGGCGGUAGGCCUAACACAUGCAAGUCGAACGGCAGCACAGGAGAGCUUGCUCUCUGGGUGGCGAGUGGCGGACGGGUGAGGAAUACAUCGGAAUCUACUCUGUCGUGGGGGAUAACGUAGGGAAACUUACGCUAAUACCGCAUACGACCUACGGGUGAAAGCAGGGGACCUUCGGACCUUGCGCGAUUGAAUGAGCCGAUGUCGGAUUAGCUAGUUGGCGGGGUAAAGGCCCACCAAGGCGACGAUCCGUAGCUGGUCUGAGAGGUUGAUCAGCCACACUGGAACUGAGACACGGUCCAGACUCCUACGGGAGGCAGCAGUGGGGAAUAUUGGACAAUGGGCGCAAGCCUGAUCCAGCCAUACCGCGUGGGUGAAGAAGGCCUUCGGGUUGUAAAGCCCUUUUGUUGGGAAAGAAAUCCAGCUGGCUAAUACCCGGUUGGGAUGACGGUACCCAAAGAAUAAGCACCGGCUAACUUCGUGCCAGCAGCAGCCGCAG
RNAcentral lists this ribosomal RNA (506 nucleotides) under uncultured bacterium. Its description in RNAcentral is "partial 16S ribosomal RNA". It matches the Rfam family "Bacterial small subunit ribosomal RNA", at positions 29 to 523 of the family's 1533-position model. The record is from RNAcentral.